Molecule: long non-coding RNA, 523 nt
Organism: Brienomyrus brachyistius
Lineage: Eukaryota; Metazoa; Chordata; Actinopteri; Osteoglossiformes; Mormyridae
Exons: 4
Source: RefSeq, a predicted model, not a curated record
GCCACAGCGUAUUUUAAAAGAAUGUGGGGAUCUGAACGGGCUGGUAGGAGUAGUUGCAUGGCACUGGUAAUUACACUAUAUUGGCAACCACUUGAGCCAGGUCAUAUGACCUACCAGGAAGUUAUAAAAGGCUGCCAAGAUGGAAUCUCAUUCUCUUGCUGCUAUGUCUUACAACUGGACAUGGGGGUGACUGCUAGCAGCAUGUAACUCUUCAUGGAGGACGCGGAGGCGACUGCAAUUUUAUCAUUUGACGUGAUCCCCUACGGGCUGCUGGGCUACAGACAUUGAGGCUCUGGGGCAGCAGUCUCAGCAGGGAGGCCCAGACUUCCCUCUCCCCGGCCACUUCAUCCAGCUCCUCUGGGGGGAUCCCGAUGCGUUAGUUGGGCCUCCUGAGCCGAGAGCUGGCCGUGCUGACCUGACCUUACUAUCUGGAGGAUAGUCAGCCGCCCGCCCCCCCCCAGCAACCUUCUUUGUCUAAUUGAUUUUAGAUAUUUGUAAUAAAGUGGAUUGGAUUUUAUUUUUA